CUCGCAAGAGCAAAGCAGGGGACCUUCGGGCCUUGCGCUACCGGAUAUGCCCAGGUGGGAUUAGCUAGUUGGUGAGGUAAGGGCUCACCAAGGCGACGAUCCCUAGCUGGCCUGAGAGGAUGAUCAGCCACACUGGAACUGAGACACGGUCCAGACUCCUACGGGAGGCAGCAGUGGGGAAUAUUGCACAAUGGGCGCAAGCCUGAUGCAGCCAUGCCGCGUGUAUGAAGAAGGCCUCGG
RNAcentral lists this ribosomal RNA (240 nucleotides) under uncultured Vibrio sp. RNAcentral's name for it is "partial 16S ribosomal RNA". It matches the Rfam family "Bacterial small subunit ribosomal RNA", at positions 173 to 420 of the family's 1533-position model. The record is from RNAcentral. Lineage: Bacteria; Pseudomonadati; Pseudomonadota; Gammaproteobacteria; Vibrionales; Vibrionaceae.